CCCGGGUCUUGUACACACCGCCCGUCACACCAUGGGAGCGGGAUGUACCAGAAGUAGGUAGGCGUAACCGCAAGGGGGCCGCUUACCACGGUGCGUUUCGUGACUGGGGUG
This 111-nucleotide ribosomal RNA is filed under the name uncultured bacterium. Its description in RNAcentral is "partial 16S ribosomal RNA". It matches the Rfam family "Bacterial small subunit ribosomal RNA", at positions 1373 to 1482 of the family's 1533-position model. The record is from RNAcentral.